RNAcentral lists this ribosomal RNA (492 nucleotides) under uncultured bacterium. RNAcentral describes it as "partial 16S ribosomal RNA". It matches the Rfam family "Bacterial small subunit ribosomal RNA", at positions 29 to 507 of the family's 1533-position model. The record is from RNAcentral.
AGUGAACGCUGGCGGUAGGCCUAACACAUGCAAGUCGAACGGCAGCACAGUAAGAGCUUGCUCUUACGGGUGGCGAGUGGCGGACGGGUGAGGAAUACAUCGGAAUCUACUUUUUCGUGGGGGAUAACGUAGGGAAACUUACGCUAAUACCGCAUACGACCUACGGGUGAAAGCAGGGGAUCUUCGGACCUUGCGCGAUUGAAUGAGCCGAUGUCGGAUUAGCUAGUUGGCGGGGUAAAGGCCCACCAAGGCGACGAUCCGUAGCUGGUCUGAGAGGAUGAUCAGCCACACUGGAACUGAGACACGGUCCAGACUCCUACGGGGGGCAGCAGUGGGGAAUAUUGGACAAUGGGCGCAGGCCUGAUCCAGCCAUACCGCGUGGGUGAAGAAGGCCUUCGGGUUGUAAAGCCCUUUUGUUGGGAAAGAAAAGCAGCAGGUUAAUACCCCGCUGUUCUGACGGUACCCAAAGAAUAAGCACCGGCUAACUUCGUG